AUUGAACGCUGGCGGCAUGCCUUACACAUGCAAGUCGAACGGCGGCACGGGUGCUUGCACCUGGUGGCGAGUGGCGAACGGGUGAGUAAUACAUCGGAACGUACCUUAUCGUGGGGGAUAACGCAGCGAAAGCUGUGCUAAUACCGCAUACGCCCUGAGGGGGAAAGCGGGGGAUCGCAAGACCUCGCGCGAUUAGAGCGGCCGAUGCCUGAUUAGCUAGUUGGUGGGGUAAAAGCCCACCAAGGCGACUAUCAGUAGCUGGUCUGAGAGGACGAUCAGCCACACUGGGACUGAGACACGGCCCAGACUCCUACGGGAGGCAGCAGUGGGGAAUUUUGGACAAUGGGGGCAACCCUGAUCCAGCAAUGCCGCGUGGAGGAUGAAGGUCUUCGGAUUGUAAACUCCUGUCAGCUGGGAGGAAUGGGUGGCGGGUGAAUAACCCGUCGCCGUGACAGUACCAGCAGAGGAAGCCACGGCUAACUCUGUGCCAGCCGCCGCCGUAA
This 503-nucleotide ribosomal RNA is filed under the name uncultured bacterium. RNAcentral's name for it is "partial 16S ribosomal RNA". It matches the Rfam family "Bacterial small subunit ribosomal RNA", at positions 29 to 523 of the family's 1533-position model. The record is from RNAcentral.